GAGUGCGUGAAAUGCUCAUUUGGUUAUUCUGGUUUUAACUGCUCAGAAAACUGGCAGCUCAUUCUGGUAAUUGUGGGCUCUGUGCUUGGAGGACUGCUGCUCAUAGCCCUCAUCCUU
Neolamprologus brichardi is the source of this 117-nucleotide non-coding RNA. NCBI's taxonomy places the organism in Eukaryota, Metazoa, Chordata, Actinopteri, Cichliformes, Cichlidae. The record is from RefSeq and is a predicted model, not a curated record.